Molecule: long non-coding RNA, 1497 nt
Organism: Melospiza melodia melodia
Lineage: Eukaryota; Metazoa; Chordata; Aves; Passeriformes; Passerellidae
Exons: 3
Source: RefSeq, a predicted model, not a curated record
AAGGGGCCCUAAAAUCAUAACACAUCUUUGGAGGGAAAGAAGAGUUUCCCAACAGACUGGCAAAACACAAGCACACAUACAGUGCCCUGCUAAGGUUUGGCUGCCUGUGUUUGAGGUCUGUCAUGAUACAGUGGAAUGUCAUCUGGGAUCAGAGUGCUGUGAGAAGAGCUGGGAGCCAGCUGGGGCCUCCCCAGUUCCAUGGGAGCCAUGGCACAGAGCUGCCCUUGUCCUCAGUCCUCAGUCCUCAUGUGGGGUGGGCUCUAAGGCUGUUUGUGCCUGGCUGUGGCUGAUCCUGACUUGACUCCCUUGCUUUGCUUCAGACCUGGCACUUCAUCCCUGUGGGCUCACUGAUCUCCUGGCUCUAUGUGGUCACUGUCACCAGACCUGCUCUGCUCUUCUUGCUUGGGCACUGUGUCUGUGUGUCCCUUUACCAAGUCCCUGCUGUCCUCACUGCCAGCCCUGCUCACCUUUGCUCCUCAGGCUCCCCAAGCUCCUCUGCAGCUGCUGCUCUGCCCAGCUCCUGGCACGGACCACAGCCCCUCCGAGUGCCUGAGACUCCUGGAGGAGAUGGGCACUGACAUGAGAGACACUAUUGCAAUGACAAGAAGGAAGAUGUGGCAUUAGCUUUGCCUCCCUUCAGCUGCCUGAAAAGCCAAAGCGAAAUCCAGGCCUGUCAGCAGGAGCCGGAGAGCAGCCGGCAGGAGGAGCUCGCUGGACACGCCGCUGGAUCGCUCCCAGGCACUCACAGACGCGUCUCAAGGGCAUCGCGUUAGAUCUGCCUUCUUGGGACUUCCUUGCAGACAAACCACCAACAGCUCAAGGCAGAGCAAACUUCGUGGUAUUGCAGCCGAGCAGCCCCAGUGAUUUAUACUAAACGUGUUUUAGACUUUUCUCAGCUUGUUUCUCCCGCCAUCGUGCUUUUACCUUUUACCUUAGUUUAGAUACUUAAGGUGUUCAGGAAGAUGCUGAGGAUGCCUUUUAGUCCCUAGAAGCAGCCAAGUAUUUUAUUUUCCAAGAAAGUUAGUGUAAGAUUUCUUGGACAGCAUCCUAACCACGGAUUAAAGAAUUCAAAAACAAUGUUUGUCUUAGCAUAGGAAGAUAUCCUCCUGGAGUCCUCAUGACCUCUGAGGGGACCUCCAAGCAAAAAGCUCUGAAAUGUAUCAGUACCACUCUGAGUAUUGGCUUGACAAAGUUAUUCAAGCACUUCUGCCUCCCUGUAUACAGUUCACCUUUGUCCUCUGUGAGAAGCGGGCACAGAGGACAGUUGUAGCUCUUUUGCACAACACAGUGUUCUCAUUAGUUAGGUGCAAAGUGUCACUCUGCUUCUUAGGGCCAAUCCUGCAGCCCUGAAUUUCACAAUCCCCAUGGUCGUGCCUCUGCACCACCUUUAAAAAUAAUUAAGAUUUUUUUUUUUUAAGUUAGCGAAUUCUUUGCUUUUGUAACUCUGUUCCUCAUUUAGUUACUAAAUGGGAGCUGGUUGCCUUCUGGUCCUGAAUG